CGGCGGCCGCGGACCGGCCCAGAACGCGGCUGUGGGUUCUCACGGGAUUGGGGGACCCCGCAGGCCGACCUCUCCGGCUCCAGCUUCAGCGCAGAGCGGCUCCCGCCCACCGCGUCUCGGAAGGAGGUCCCAGAGCCUCUGCGUGAGUCCCCAAUUCUCCCGUUUGGCGCUCUGACCUUGCCUCCCUUAUUGACCUCAAGGCGGUGGAGACGGUACCAUUUUGAUGGAGGCGACUGACGUUUCCCAUUUUGCAUAUGAGGAAGCUGAAGGUGGACGAUGGAAAUAACUUGCCUGAGGGCACCAGCUGGUUACCAGGAACAGAAGCUCGUCCCUGGGUUCCAAGUCCAGGCUCUCUCCACCACAUUACCACUGCCCCUCCCCUCUAACGUGUUGACAUUCUGAGUGCCCUACAGCUAACUAUAGCACAACGGAGUGUUCCAGAGGCCACGUAACAUGUAAUAUGACCACAGAUUGAACAUAGAAGCAUUUAAGAGAAUCAGCAGUUUGUAUUAAGCAGAUAGUGAAGAAAUUUACCAAAUUGCGAAACAAAGCUUCUCCUUUCCUGACUUGCUUUUGUCCUGGAAAGUAUAAUUAUUUUCCAUUAAAAUGUGUAUAUUUAUAUACUCAAUGAGAUUAUUUUUAAAUGAAUUAAUUGAAAGGUUGAAAUGUUCUCGGUUUUACUUUCUGAUACGGUAAUUAUCGAUGGGGAGAACUCUCACUUUUCUAUGGUGUCAGAGGGCUUUGAGAAGAGCUGGCCUCCAGCAGCCUGGCUCUGCAGCUUCAUCGCUAGUGAUUUCCUCUCCUCGCUCAUACUUUUCACAUGAACAUCCAGCUCCAGACAAGAUGAAGCAGAUCCACUUUCUCCCUCUUCCUCUGGUUAAGUGCUUCCUAAAAUCCUGAACAUCACAGAUACAACAAACAUCUGAAAGGCAAAGCCAAGGCUAGGGACCUCAGGACUCAAGGAGUGACAUGGCACCAAGGUGGUAUCAGCAGAGACCUAGCGGGGUUGCUGAACUUCUGCUCUGGUCCAGCAAUAACGAGAUGUCCGCCACUCCGCAAGUGUCAACGGCUGCAUGGAGACCCUGGACUUUUAUCCCCACCUGGCGGUAGCCAGGAGGUCACCCUCCACCCCGCCCCGCCUGCCCCGGCAGAGCAGUAGGAAAGAGGCCCUGCUGAAACAGAUCAGUCUCACAACACAAUACCUGAAGUGUCCAAGAUGCAAUUUAAAAUCCCUCAUGAUGCCAAGAACCAGGAAAAUCUCAACUUGAAUGAGAAGAGAUAAUUAGCAGAUGCCAACACGGAGAUGACAGAGAUGUUGGAAUUAUCUGACAGGGAUUUAAAAACAACCGGCAUAAACAUGCUUCACUGAACAAUGAUAACAUUGCUUAAUAACUUAAAAUAAAAGAAUGAAUAGCAAGUCUCAGCACAGAAACAAAAGAUGGAAAGAAGGAUCAUACCGUCUGCUGCUGCUGCUAAGUCACUUCAGUCGUGCCCGUCUCUGUGUGACCCCACAGAC
Molecule: long non-coding RNA, 1516 nt
Organism: Capra hircus (goat)
Lineage: Eukaryota; Metazoa; Chordata; Mammalia; Artiodactyla; Bovidae
Exons: 3
Source: RefSeq, a predicted model, not a curated record